UGGAGCGCCCCACCCCCAUGCUGCGAUGCGAGGGGGCGGGGCGGUGGGGCGGCGCAUGCGCAUCGCGUCCCGGGCCCGUGCCGGCCGGGCGUGCCGCGGACGCCGUGUUACAGUCGGCGCCCCGUGGCCGGGUGGGGUGUUGAGUGUCUCGGGGGGCACCGGGGACGGACGCGGGCCGGGAUAAUGGUCCGGGCUGUUCCUAACCCCAGCGGGGAGGCGGGGCGGGGCGGGCGCGUGCGGUGGCUGCCUCGGGCCCUGGCGUUUCCGGAGGCGCCGGGUGUGCGUUGGGGGCAGCGCGGUCGUUAACGCGCCGUGUAACGUUUUCGCGCAAGGCCCAAGCGAGGGACUUCUCUUUGCGUUAGGGUUUGCUAUAGUAUUUGUCACCAGUAUCUAAACACUAGUCUGCAUGUUCCAGACUAUGCUGUGCUGAGAUGGACACCACAAUGAAUUUACUAUUCCCUGCUCUAGCUUUUCUUGACAGUCCUGUCAAAGCUCGUUCAGCUUCAAGUAUGGCAGCACUGAUAUACAGCUUCUCUUGAUGUCUACACCAUGACACCUAGAGGAGAGUCAUAAGAGUUUGCUUUAUCCGUCAUGCUGUGAAUUUGCUGCAGGGCCAGUUCACCCAACAGUUUCUGAGUGACUGUUUUACUUGUUUCUGAUCCUGCUUUUCACUUUGACGCUGGACAACACGUGUUGCUUGGUGCUGUCAGGGAGGAAUGUUAGACUUCAUCCUGCAGCCACAACAGCAGUGCCAGGAAAACACCCUGAGUAAGCCCAGGCCUGCUUUCUUGCACCUUGGUUUCACAGACUAAGAGAAGAGACAGAAUAUCUUCCUGGGAGUCCUUGUUGCUGUGACAGCUUUGCUUGCAGUCAAAUGGAGAUGCUGGGCCUGGACCUAAGCUCAGACUGAUAGGACCACACCAUCCUUGGGAUGUGGAACAAGAAGCUGCUGUCACAAAAAUUCCAGGUGCACAGGUGCACCGUUGAGAAACAUAACAAACAACAUGACAUAAGAGAUUUAGGGGAAUGAUGCCACAAUAUCCUCAAUAAAUUGUUUAGAUUCCUCUUUUGAAAAAUGAUUCUAAUCUUUCUCUCACAUUAUAGUGCCUGAUAAAUAACCCCUUCAAGUCACCACCUAACUCCCUCUUCCUUCUUUCUAUAUCUGUACUGAUUUCGCUUGUACAUAGUAUUGUUUUGUAUGUUUCCUUCAUUUGUCUCUCCCGAUAUUUCCAUUAUCUUCUUCUAUUAAUGAGUUUAAUCCUUGGGAUCAAUCAAAUUGUGUUAUGAUAUAAGACUUACCUAGAAUAAGAAGCAAAAAUUGUUUAAUACUAUCUUUGUCUUUCUCACUUUCUGGUGUCAGCCAGAAGUUUGCUGCACCCAAUUUCAGUGCCUCUGAAAAUCAGGGUGGUUGUGGAAGGAAAACUAUGUCUUAUUAUGGUACAUUUGUGGUUGUGUACUUUCCUGUAGAGAAGGCUAGCCUAGAGCUUCUGAAACUUUAAGUUUCCAAUUAAAUGCUCAAAUUGACAGAAGCGCCUUUAUUUCAACCUAAAUUCAUUGAGACCCAUUCCUUAAUUUGCAUAGAGGGAGAUUUUUCCUGUGUUACACACUCAAGAGCAGAAGGAUCAGAUCUCUAACUUAUUUUGUGAUUAUAUCAGUGCCUUUUAUGACAAGCAAGAACUGAUUUAUUCAUAACAGUAGUGUGUCUGCAUGACAAAUGUGUUUAUGUCCAAUGCAUCAAGUACUAAUUUAUGCCCUUCCACAUUGCACAGUAUGUUGACCCUUUCUGAGAUGCAGAAAUAGAAAGCUAAUGUACACAUGUCAGAUCAGAGGCUUUGAACAAACAUACGGUUCUUUCAGCUCAGUCUUAAGAAUUAUUCCACUGCCAACCUAAGCUCCUAAACUCAGCUGACAGAUACACUUUGUACAAAAGUCUAGCACUUGAUGUUCUUGGUAUUGCAACAGUUAGGAAGCUGGUGUUUGGUGAGAAAUUAUGUGAAGUCUCCAAGCAGGAAUAAACCAUAAAUGAGAAAUGAGAAUAUAUGCAAAUUCUCAUUUAUUACUUGUUUGUGGUGGUAAUUAUGCUCUUAGCAAAUCUCCAGACAUUCCGAGAUGCUUUCUUUCCUGACAAGUUUCAAGCAAUUUUUUUCUCUAAAGAUAUAAACUUCUGUUCUUUCUUCUGCCACAGUAUAUUUGAGAAGUUCCCAGUUUUCUUGAUCAAUAGUGAAGCAAGAUAAGCUCUUUCAUUUAUUUAACUGACAAGCCCUAUAUGAGAUGUUGCAAAAGCUAAGAAAUGGAUUCAGUACAGUUUUUUGACCAUCACACAGUGCAGUAAAAUCUUUAUAAAUGUUUUCAUUGUUUCCUUUUUUUAAAGUUUUUAAAUGCAUUUAAAUAAUUUUAAAGUAUUUUUCUUCCAAAUCUUUUAUGAACGUAAGAACAUACAGCUGAGAGUAUUUUAGAAGUCACACAAUUUGCUGAAAGAUGUUAGAUUACUCUGAUGAAGUUAUUUUUUGAAGCGAUAGAAGAACGCUCAUUUAUUUAUUAUUCACCUAAAAUAGUAGGCCUCUGUAAAAUUCACAUCUGAAUUCUUUCAUACCGCACACCUGCAAAUCAUGUGAAGAUACUCAAAAUUUUUUAUUGUGAAAACCAAUAGGAAAUACACUGCUGGCAGCUACCAUUGUUCUCUGUGUGAGACUGUAAGCUUCUAACUCAGGCAGUCUCCAGUUCAAUUUGAAAUCUUAGUAUUUAACGAUACAUGAUUAAAUAUAAAGGUUUUCUCUUUUUUGGAGGAAAUUUUAACUUGCUGUGAUGUGUACUAUGAAGAAAAAAAUAUUGUAUAUGCCUCUGCAUGGAUCCAGGACAGAAAUCUCAAUACAUACAAUGUUUUCUUUACUUACAAAGGAUUAAGGUAGAUUUUUAUUUUGUUUCAAUAGUUUAUGUUGACCAUUCAAGUUCCAAAUAUAUUUCACUGUAGCAAUAAUCUCUGAAAGCCAUUUUAGCUUGUUUCUAUCUGUCCUUUCUGCCUAAACUAAGUCAGUUGUAAAUGACCAUAGCUUCAGAGGAUGGAGGAAAAAGCAUAAUGCAAGUAGUCAUGCCUUCCAAAAUGUUGGAAAGAUGGAAAGCUAUUUAAAGAACAAAACAUGUCUCAGGAGCUACAGAAUCUCUGUGGACUGACAUAUGGCAGUCAUACGUCAGCAUAUGCCUAUGCUGCAUGUACAACAUAUAUCCAUUUGCUAAAAAUCUAUUUGUGUAAAAAGUUGUAGCAAGAAGACCUAGUUACAAUGCACUUAGAAAAGUGCAUCAGCGUAAUGAUAUGUUUAAUUUUUUAUUCUUUGCAGAAGCAGUCUUGCACAUUAUUUAUUAUUUUCUUGUUCCUUUUCUUGAUCUCUGAGGCAAUCCUGAUGGUUAAAAUAAAAUAAAACAAAAAUUGCUCUCCUUGUUAAAUCCUCAGUGUCAGGAAAGAUAGGACCAGCACUAAGAUCAACUAGAAAACAAGUAAUAUAAACUUUCUGAAGUUUUGACUUUUGUAUGACCCUUAUGUAAGAACAAGUCAAAUCUUUUGAAGUUGCAGUGGAAAGACUUGAAAAGAAGACUUGAAAAGCAUGUGUCUGUUGGGCAAGGCAUGUGGAAUUGGAGGGAAAGCGAAAAUAAUUUUGGCUUUCAUACCCUAACCACUGAGUCAUUCUGUAUGCUUGUCUCUGGUUUCUAGAACAGAAAUCCCAUUCUAGACCUGAAAAAUGUCCCUUAGGAAAAUUUUGCUGAAAUUAGUAUAAUAGUUUCAAACAGACAAAAAAAACCUGGGAAAUUUCCAACACUAGUCAGCUACAAACUAGCUGUGAGAUAUGGACUAAUCCAAUCCCCAUGUUUCUGAAAGAAACAUUCCUUCCUACAUCCAUAGUUGAGGAUAGCUCUUUGUUAGAGUUUUAAGGCCUGUAUUGAAACCGAUAAACUAUAUAUGUGCCUAUUCAGACAACCUAAAAGGCAGGUUAUUAUGAGCUGCAUAUAACAUAAACAAUUAACACAAAUAGUAGUGAAUAUUAUAUAAUAUUUGAUGAGUUUUAUUAUUUUCUACAUUACUCAAGUGUAAAUGGAAAGUGAGCAUUUUAGUUGAGAGUGCUGCAUGACUGUCAAAUAGUUUUAAGGAAGGAGACAAAGCUGUAAAACUUCCAAGUGCAAUGCAAUGUUGACUGAUGUACAUAAAUAAAGAAAGUGGAUUAUGUAUUUUCUUUCUAUCUGGAAA
This is a long non-coding RNA of Dromaius novaehollandiae (emu), 4237 nucleotides long. RefSeq lists it as uncharacterized. The transcript has 3 exons. The record is from RefSeq and is a predicted model, not a curated record. NCBI's taxonomy places the organism in Eukaryota, Metazoa, Chordata, Aves, Casuariiformes, Dromaiidae.